Non-coding RNA from Oryza barthii, 204 nucleotides. Lineage: Eukaryota; Viridiplantae; Streptophyta; Magnoliopsida; Poales; Poaceae. The record is from Rfam.
AAUAAGUGCAGCCAUGGUUUUUCGCGCCCAACUUUAAUCGUCCGUCUUAUUUAAAAUUAUUUUAUAUUAGCAUUUUUGUUGCUAUGAGAUAAUAAAACAUGAAUAGUACUUUACUCGUGACUUAUGUUUUUAAUUUUUUUUAAAAAAUUUUUAAAUAAGACGAACGGUCAAAAUUAGACGCGGAAAAAUAUAUCUGCACUUAUU